GAUGAUUCUAUUAACUGAAAAGUAUAUCGACGGAAAGUGGCCAGCAAGAAGAAAGAACCAUCCACAACAGAGGAGGGGUGAUGAACUGAAGCCCCAAAGAGAUCCAAAACUUCCUGUUGAAACCUUUUGCAGGGGAGAAAUCCAGAUAGUUGACAAGAUCCAUUGGGAUGUCCAUCGACCUCGGAAGGAGGGGAGGGGAAGAUGGCGAACCUGUUUAGGGGCUGGGAGAACCGAAGAGGGGCGUCAUCGAUGAGAUCAGAGCCGGAGAUGGAGUGGAGCGCCACCGCCACAGUCGCUAGGGAGAGGGAGCGGGGGCGUCAUGACCCAAGCGUUGCGAAAGCUUUUGGGUUAUUGAGUUUUGUGUCACUUACUUCCCCAUAAGUCAUUUUGUUGCAAUACCCACCCACUUAUUUGAUUUUAUUGCAAAUACCCACCCAUUGUGCACAAACU
This 450-nucleotide long non-coding RNA is filed under the name Setaria viridis. Its description in RNAcentral is "long non-coding RNA (SVIR_LNC003015)". Lineage: Eukaryota; Viridiplantae; Streptophyta; Magnoliopsida; Poales; Poaceae. The record is from RNAcentral.